Molecule: transfer RNA, 75 nt
Filed under: Natronoglycomyces albus
Lineage: Bacteria; Bacillati; Actinomycetota; Actinomycetes; Glycomycetales; Glycomycetaceae
Description: Glycomycetaceae bacterium DSM 106290 tRNA-Val
Rfam family: tRNA
About the family: Transfer RNA (tRNA) molecules are approximately 80 nucleotides in length. Their secondary structure includes four short double-helical elements and three loops (D, anti-codon, and T loops).
Source: RNAcentral
GGGCGCUUAGCUCAGCGGUAGAGCACUGCUCUUACAAAGCAGUGGUCACUGGUUCGAUCCCAGUAGCGCCCACCA